AAAAUGUAGCUUAAUUAAAGCAUCUGGCUUACACCUAGAAGAUUUCAGAAACUACUGACCAUUUUGA
This 67-nucleotide transfer RNA is filed under the name Microgale brevicaudata (short-tailed shrew tenrec). Its description in RNAcentral is "partial tRNA-Val". It matches the Rfam family "tRNA". From Rfam's summary of the family: Transfer RNA (tRNA) molecules are approximately 80 nucleotides in length. Their secondary structure includes four short double-helical elements and three loops (D, anti-codon, and T loops). Further hydrogen bonds mediate the characteristic L-shaped molecular structure. tRNAs have two regions of fundamental functional importance: the anti-codon, which is responsible for specific mRNA codon recognition, and the 3' end, to which the tRNAs corresponding amino acid is attached (by aminoacyl-tRNA synthetases). tRNAs cope with the degeneracy of the genetic code in two manners: having more than one tRNA (with a specific anti-codon) for a particular amino acid; and 'wobble' base-pairing, i.e. permitting non-standard base-pairing at the 3rd anti-codon position. The record is from RNAcentral. Lineage: Eukaryota; Metazoa; Chordata; Mammalia; Afrosoricida; Tenrecidae.